Long non-coding RNA from Ictalurus punctatus (channel catfish), 2204 nucleotides. NCBI's taxonomy places the organism in Eukaryota, Metazoa, Chordata, Actinopteri, Siluriformes, Ictaluridae. The record is from Ensembl.
GAGAGAGAGAGAGAGAGAGAGUGGGCGUGCUACAAAGCUGAGGUGCUGCUACCUAAAUUGGAUCACAUGUCCUUUAAUUGCCUUUUCUUUCUAUGGUUUAUUUCAAAAGAGAGUCAUUUAAUUAUGACCUUUUCAUCCGUCCUGUAUUUGUUUUGGGAUUUUUUUUUUUUUGUUUGUCACAUAGGCAACAUGGCACAAACGCAUGUUGCGCGCGCACACACGCACUCAGAGUAUUGAUUGCCCGUUUGAGCAGAAGAAAGCCACGGCGUCGUCGAGGACGACCUCAAAAACAACGGAACAAAUAUUCAAAUGAGCAUCCAAUUACGCCGGCAAAGAGUCACUUUUGUGCGGCGCACACGGGUGCCAAAUUACGCUCUUUUGAUCUUAAACCUUUACUUACUCGAAGCCGGCGACGAGUAAUUUCGGACCGAAGGCUGAGACAAUGCCUUGAGCGGUUGCUCUUUCUUUCUCUCUUCCUCGCUCUCGCUAUAUCUCUCUCUCUGGGCCCUUCUCUCAAUACCUUGCCUUCAUUAAGGCAGCGAAUAGGAGGGGGGGGGGACAAAAAAGGGGAAGACUACAAAUUACUGAUAAUGACGGCGGGCUAAUGAAGAGAACGAAGAAAUUUCAUUAGCAUUUAAGAGGCGAGGAUGGAUGCGCGCGACCCGACCGCGGCUGCUCUCCAUUACCCCUUCACUUAAGGAAGCGAGAGGGGCCGCCUGAAACCCGAUGCCUCAUUUGCAUCCCUAAGUGGCCGCGGCUCCUGAUUGGUAAGGGUCCAUCAGGCUCCUAAUUUAUGUAUCCCAAACAAAACACGGGUGCGAGAGUUCCGUGUUGGCGCUCGCCACGAUCCGCAAGUGCAGGAAAAGCUGAGCACACACGGGCGACGACGCGUCACAUACCGUGGACCUGAGCUGUGUUUGUGUGAAAUUUUUGGCAUCUGAAUGACCUGCUUACGGAAAAGAUUCAUUUGUAAUAAUAAUGAUAUUAAUACACAUUGUUUAUACGUAAUUAUUUGCGAGAACUUCUUUCGAAGAACACCUAUCCAACAUCUCCGACGUUCAUCUACAUGACUGCGUUUGUGCACUGCACUACCUUCUUACGAUUAUUUUUAAGCUUUACUGGAUCAACCCAGUUGGUCUAACAGCUUUUGGAUUUAGGGUCUGGACUCCACUAGAUGGCUCCAAAAUGUGCAAAGGUGUCAGCUUUACAGUACUGUACACUCAAGAACCUUUUUCGUGUCCUCAAGUGUUACUAAAAUGCUACUCCUGUUGUUGAUUCGCAACACCUGUUGGUCGCCUCCACCCACGCGCAGCCCUGAAACACCUUCUGCGACUCCUCAGCCUGCCACCCUCCUCACCUGAAACUCAUCCUGGCAUAAGAGGCAGGUUUCUGCACCCAUCUCCAUGGAAACAGGGAAGACGGCGGUCGUACGUUUGUCAGUUCGCUUGAGCUUCGUUCCGGCAGACUCUGCUUCAGCCGUUGGAUCCCUGACACCAAACAUUCACAGUCACUCCCCCAAUGAAUAAUAAUACAAUGAAAAUAACUUGAAGAAAACAGCAAGGUCUUUUAUUAAUAAGGUGUGUGUGUGUGUGUGUGUGUGUGUGUGUGUGUGUGUGUAUAUAUAUAUAUAUAUAUGGAAAUAAUAUUCAUGAUGCCAUAAUAUUUCUACAUCAGGAGAACAUAAUAUUCACACAACCUGUAUUUCAGAUGGUUAUAUACACAAGUUGCAUAUUUUGCACUCAGGUCUCCUUUAGUGAGCAGUCGAUUAGUUCAACAAAGACUUCAUAUAAAAACCAUAAUGAACUUUCUUUUACUUUCACACUCUCCGUUGUUACCCAGAUGAGGAUGGGUUCCUUUCCGAGUCUGGUUCCUCUCAAGGAUUCUUCCUCAUAUCAUCUUAUGUAGUUUUUCCUCGUCACCGUUGCUGCUGGUUUGCUCAAUAGAGAUACAUUUACACACUUAAAAUCUGUAUCCUGUGUUUAUAUAUUUCUGUAAAGCUGCUUUGAGACAACGUCCAUGGUAAAAAGCGCUAUACAAAUAAAAUUGAAUUGAAUAUAUAAUGUAUAAGAAAAGAGCGCUUACUUCUGUGAAUGUCUAACAAAGGUGUUAAAAUUAAGUUUUUUUUUCCUGGAAUUUUUUAGAUUGGAGUAAAACAUGUCCAUCAGCAUUGUUUUCCCAAUUAAACAAACUCUUUUUGAUCCGCU